RNAcentral lists this ribosomal RNA (778 nucleotides) under Campanulotes compar (small pigeon louse). RNAcentral describes it as "12S ribosomal RNA". Lineage: Eukaryota; Metazoa; Arthropoda; Insecta; Psocodea; Philopteridae. The record is from RNAcentral.
CUUUUGUUUUAGGAUGAUUCACUUGGUAAGUUUAGCCGUCCUUAUACAAAUAAGAGUGAGUUUGAUAAAAAUUUUGUAAAGAUUAGAAUUAUGAUAACUUAUGAGGUCGUAGGGUUAAAUAUACAUGGAUUGAAUGUAAUCUAUUCGAUAGAAAGAGUUGUGCCAGCACUAGCGGUUAGACAUCCGUCGGAUAUCAAGAAAAUAAAUUCGGUUCACAUUCAUUUACUAAAUUUAUUUUUAUAUUCGGUAAAAUGAUUAUUAAAUAAAGAGAGUAGGUUAGAUAGUGGGAAUUAGUUUAAGCAUGGGGUAGAGACCAGGAUUAGAUACCCUGUUAUUCUUUAGAAUAGGAAUAUAGUGAGCAGAUUAAGUGUGGAAAAGUAAAAAACAUGGCGGUUUUCUAUCAUAUUAGAGAAACAUGUGCUGAAAACGAAUUUGCACGAAGAAUCAUUCUUUUUCUUGAAACCCUAUGUUGGGUAAACUUCAUUUUGCAUACCGCUGUCUGAAAGACUUUUCUAUAGAAAAUGUCUCAUAUCACUAGGAAAUUUUUAAUUUGUUGAAAUAAGGCAAGUAAAGGUGUAGAUUAUGAAGAAGAAAGCAUGUGUCUCAGUUUGAUUAGUGGAAAGAAUAAGUGAAACUUUUCUUGAAAAAGAAUUUAACAGUAAAGUGAGUUUAUUAAACUUGUUUGAAUAGGAAAUGGAAAGUGUACAAAUUGCCCGUCACUCCGUAAGUGGAGAAGUCGUAACAUAGUUGGACUACUGGAAAGUGGUCCAGGAUGAGG